UUUUUAAGUUUUGUUGAAAUCGUGAAACGCAGCAACUCAUGUAUUUUUUCGUCUGCUACGAGUGACUUGUGUAGUUCUGCGAAAUAUUUAUUUUUUAAAAAAACAGUGAUAGAAAAGGGGGUUAAGACCUCUUUUGAACUCAGAUACUUCAAUAUCAACAAUGAGGAAGAGGAUGAUGAUGAUGACAAGGAAUAAGUUCGUCUCCCCGUUGUUUCGUUUUUGCUGUAAAGUAAUAAACGAUGACCAUUAUAUUUGUACAAUUGUUACUGCAUUAAACUUGACACCAUUCCUUGACGCAUACUUUCAGGGUUAUUUUUACAUAAAAAAAUUGUCAGUAUUAAGAUUAUUUGUAUGGAACUUUAGUAGGCUGUGUACGAAGGGAAUUAUAAUUUUGCAUUAAGAAGAUUCCAGGUUAUGAAGGAACUUGGUCUAAGCAUUUGCUAGUAAGAUGUCGGAUCCAUUCAUGUGGUUGCAUGUUUCGAUUUGACCAAUAAUUCGUAUCAUACAUGAAGGCUGGGAAGACAGUGAAAGUGAAGUAAAUGCAUUCUGUGUAAAGCAAUCGACCUUCAAUACAAUUGUUUUCAAAUUGAGGCAAGUAAAAUAUAAUUAAGUGAAACUAAGCUAAUUUUCUAGAUCUCGAGUAAUAUUUUGUAAAUAUUUAUCUAAACUCAAAAUUGAAAGCCAGACAACAAGUAAUGGAAUGUCAUGUAUAUUUCUCAAUUUACAAAAAUUUCAUCACUUGAAUCAUAACAAAGAUCUUUAUCGACGAUUCAAAUCUAAAUCUUCCAUGAAGGAAGUUAAGUUCAGCCGAAUCUUUUUACUGCCUUGACUUACGUAUUGAAGAAGAUUCAUCAUCUGCCUAGGAUUAUAUUCCUUCAACAAAGGCAUAAACAAAAUUAUUAGCUGCUGACGACGCGAAUUUCUUAAAUUAAUGACAACGAAUUUUCAGGUAAAUAAUAUGCCUUUAUGUAUGUUUCGACAAUAUGUGGGUCAGGAAGAGGUCUUAGACAUGUCAAGCUUUCCACUUUGACUUGAAAAUGCC
Molecule: long non-coding RNA, 1042 nt
Organism: Daphnia magna
Lineage: Eukaryota; Metazoa; Arthropoda; Branchiopoda; Diplostraca; Daphniidae
Exons: 3
Source: RefSeq, a predicted model, not a curated record